UCAGACUGAAAAUGGCCUCAGGUGAGACAGUGAUCUGAGGUCAGAUAACAGAGCCCACAGUAUUUGGUAUAUUAACCUUAUCACCUGCUUAUGUGCAUGGUGAUCAAAUAAAUAUCCCAACAGAA
This is a small nucleolar RNA of Hippoglossus stenolepis (Pacific halibut), 125 nucleotides long. RefSeq annotates it as small nucleolar RNA ACA64. The transcript has a single exon. The record is from RefSeq and is a predicted model, not a curated record. Lineage: Eukaryota; Metazoa; Chordata; Actinopteri; Pleuronectiformes; Pleuronectidae.